Nicotiana attenuata is the source of this 99-nucleotide non-coding RNA. NCBI's taxonomy places the organism in Eukaryota, Viridiplantae, Streptophyta, Magnoliopsida, Solanales, Solanaceae. The record is from Rfam.
UUGCCCUAUGGGGAAAUCGGAUAAAAUUGGAACGAUAUGGAGAAGAUUAGCAUGGCCCCUGUGCACAAAUAACUUUUUCAUGAUGUUGCUGUCAAGGUU